This 332-nucleotide long non-coding RNA is filed under the name Brassica napus (rape). Its description in RNAcentral is "long non-coding RNA (BNAP_LNC014875)". Lineage: Eukaryota; Viridiplantae; Streptophyta; Magnoliopsida; Brassicales; Brassicaceae. The record is from RNAcentral.
AUUAUUGGGCUAAUCAUGUGUUGAUCCAAAACUUUAACCCAAAUUCUAGAAUAAUCUUCCACCUCCUUAAGCUAAAAAAAUCUAGAUUUUGUUAUAGAAAAAUCUAGAUAAUUAGAAUAAAAAAUCUAGAUAUUAUGUUAGAAUUAUCUAGAUUUAAGAUUAAAAUAUUUGAGAUAUUUUGUAUUAUGGGGGCUAUAAAUACCUCCACUUCCCUUUCAUUUUGUAUCACCAAGAAGUAUCCAAGUUUGUAAGAAUUAUCUAAGUAAUAAGAAUCCUCUUCUAAGUUAUAAAAGUUUUCUUCUUCACAAAGCUUCUUUCUCUUCAAACACUUA